AGAUAAGAGUGAACGGUAUGAGAUAAGAGUGAAGCGGUAUGAGAUAAGAUUGAAGGGUAUGAGAUAAGAGUGAACGGUAUGACGAUAAGAGUGAAGGCGUAUGAGAUAAGGUGAAGGGUAUGAGAUCAAGCGUUGAGGGUAUUGAGAUAAGAGUGAACGGUAUGAGAUAAGCAGUGAAGUGUAUGAGAUAAGAGUGAAUGUAUGAGAUAGAGUGAACGGUAUGAGAUAAGAUUGAAGUGUAUGAGAUAAGAGUGAAGGGUAUGAGAUAAGAUUGAACGGUAUGAUGAUAAGACGUGAACGGUAUGAGAUAAGUAGUGAAGGGUAUGAGUUAAGCGUGAAGUGGUAUGAGAUAAGGAUGAGGCGUAUGAGAUGAAGAGCUUGAACGGUUGAGAU
This is a long non-coding RNA of Priapulus caudatus, 393 nucleotides long. RefSeq lists it as uncharacterized. The transcript is spliced from 6 exons. The record is from RefSeq and is a predicted model, not a curated record. Lineage: Eukaryota; Metazoa; Priapulida; Priapulimorpha; Priapulimorphida; Priapulidae.